This 298-nucleotide unclassified non-coding RNA is filed under the name Hevea brasiliensis (rubber tree). The record is from RNAcentral. Lineage: Eukaryota; Viridiplantae; Streptophyta; Magnoliopsida; Malpighiales; Euphorbiaceae.
AUUAAAAACCAUGGAAAACUCUUACAUAAAACUCUGUUGAAACCAUUAUGCUGCUGUCACUCACUGAAAAUCAUAAGCGAAUUCCACAAAAGCACUCAAAAUAAAGAGUUAGGAAAAGAAGAAAUAUGAUUCACAACUACAAAGCCAUACCGUAAAAGUAGAACCAUUAGAAUGCUGAUAAUAAAAAUGUAAGCAUACAAAAAGUCCUUGAAACAAUAUAAAUGUCACAUCUAAUCAAGGUAGGAAUUAAAAAAAUGAGAGAGAGAGGAGGGCGAGGGAGAGAGAGAAAGAGAAGAAA